UACAGGGGCCCCAAGCGUUAAUCGGAAUUACUGGGCGUAAAGCGCACGUAGGCGGCUUUGUAAGUUAGAGGUGAAAGCCCGGGGCUCAACUCCGGAAUUGCCUUUAAGACUGCAUCGCUAGAAUUGUGGAGAGGUAAGUGGAAUUCCGAGUGUAGAGGUGAAAUUCGUAGAUAUUCGGAAGAACACCAGUGGCGAAGGCGACUUACUGGACACAUAUUGACGCUGAGGUGCGAAAGCGUGGGGAGCAAACAGG
Molecule: ribosomal RNA, 253 nt
Filed under: uncultured bacterium
Lineage: Bacteria
Description: partial 16S ribosomal RNA
Rfam family: Bacterial small subunit ribosomal RNA
Source: RNAcentral